This 57-nucleotide transfer RNA is filed under the name Loxodonta africana (African savanna elephant). It matches the Rfam family "tRNA", at positions 7 to 64 of the family's 71-position model. Rfam says of the family: Transfer RNA (tRNA) molecules are approximately 80 nucleotides in length. Their secondary structure includes four short double-helical elements and three loops (D, anti-codon, and T loops). Lineage: Eukaryota; Metazoa; Chordata; Mammalia; Proboscidea; Elephantidae. The record is from Rfam by way of RNAcentral.
GUGGCACAGUGGUUAAGUGCUUGGCUGUUAACCAAAAGGUCGUGGUUCGAACCCACC